GAACUGAAACAUCUAAGUACCCGGAGGAAGAGAAAUCAAACGAGAUGCCCACAGUAGCGGCGAGCGAAGAGGGCAGAGCCCAAACCGAGAAGCUCCGGCUUUUCGGGGUUGAGGACCGGCAGAAUCGAAGUCAGGCCUAGUUGAAUUACCUGGAAAGGUAAGCGAGAGAGGGUAAAAGCCCCGUAGACGAAAGGCAGAGCAGAGAGGCCGAGAUCCAGAGUACCACGAAGCACGAGGAAUUUUGUGGGAAGCAGGGGGGACCACCCUCCAAGGCUAAAAACUACUUGGCGACCGAUAGCGCAUAGUACCGUGAGGGAAAGGUGAAAAGAACCCCGGGAGGGGAGUGAAAUAGUACCUGAAACCGUAUGUCUACAAGCAGUCGAAGCGAAAGCGACGGCGUGCCUAUUGAAGAAUGAACCAACGAGUUAUCUGCACUAGCGAGGUUAAGUGGAAGACACGGAGCCGCAGCGAAAGCGAGUCUUAAGAGGGCGCUAGUUAGUGUAGGUAGACCCGAAACCGCAGUGAUCUACCCAUGUCCAGGUUGAAGCGCAGGUAAAAUUGCGUGGAGGACCGAACCGGUGAGCGUUGAAAAGCUUUCGGAUGAGAUGUGGGUAGGGGUGAAAUUCCAAUCGAACGCGGAGAUAGCUGGUUCUCCCCGAAAUAGCUUUAGGGCUAGCCUGAGGUAGUAAGUAUAGGCGGUAGAGCACUGAUCGGGCUAGGGGCCGUAAAGGUUACCGAACCCUGUCAAACUCCGAAUGGAUAUACUGUAGAGCCUUGGAGUCAGACUACGAGUGAUAAGAUCCGUGGUCAAAAGGGAAACAGCCCAGACCACCAGCUAAGGUCCCCAAUGUCGUACUAAGUGGAAAAGGAUGUGGGGUUUCAUAAACAACCAGGAUGUUGGCUCAGAAGCAGCCAUCAUUUAAAGAGUGCGUAAUAGCUCACUGGUCGAGAGACCCUGCGCCGAAGAUUCCCGGGGCUAAAGUACGAAACCGAAGCUGUGGCUGUAUACGUAAAGUAUACGGGGUAGGGGAGCGUUCCCAUAGGGUAGAAGUCGAACUGGAAGGUUCGGUGGACUUGUGGGAAGUGAGAAUGUUGGUAUGAGUAGCGAAAAGAAAGGUGAGAAUCCUUUCCACCGAAAGCAUAAGGAUUCCUGAGCAACGAUCGUCGUCUCAGGGUAAGUCGGGACCUAAUCCGAGGCAGAGAGCGUAGGAGAUGGACAACUGGUUGAUAUUCCAGUACCGGUAGUAAUUGUUUGAGCAAUGGAGUGACACAGAAGGGCAGGCAAGCAUGCGAAUGGAAGAGCAUGUGUAAGCGUGUAGGGUGGUGCAUAGGCAAAUCCGUGCACUGAAAGCCUGAGGCGUGAUGCGGAGUGAGCAGAGAUGCGAGCGAAGUUGUUGACCCCACACUGUCGAGAAAAGCUUCUAGUGAGAGAGCUACCGCCCGUACCGUAAACCGACACAGGUAUGCGGGGAGAGAAUCCUAAGGUGCGCGGGAGAACCCUCGUUAAGGAACUCGGCAAAAUGUACCCGUAACUUCGGGAUAAGGGUAGCCACUGUUGUGAAGUCCCAUGCGGAUGGAGCAUAGAGUGGUCGCAGAGAAGAGGCCCAAGCGACUGUUUACCAUAAACACAGGUGCCUGCUAAAGCGAAAGCUGACGUAUAGGUGCUGACACCUGCCCAGUGCCGGAAGGUUAAGGAAGGAUGUUCGGAUUAGUCCAAAGCAUUCGACUGAAGCCCCGGUGAACGGCGGCCGUAACUAUAACGGUCCUAAGGUAGCGAAAUUCCUUGUCGGGUAAGUUCCGACCCGCACGAAAGGUGUAACGAUUUGGGCACUGUCUCAACGAGGGACCCGGUGAAAUUGAAAUACCUGUGAAGAUGCAGGUUACCCGCGACUGGACAGAAAGACCCCAUGGAGCUUUACUGUAACCUGACAUUGGGUUUUGAUACAUUACGUACAGGAUAGGUGGGAGGCUUGGAAAGUUGGACGCUAGUCUGACUGGAGCCGACGUUGGGAUACCACCCUUGAUGUAUUGAAAUUCUAACCGCGAGAGUAACGAAAUCCGGGACAGUGUCAGGCGGGCAGUUUGACUGGGGCGGUCGCCUC
This 2102-nucleotide ribosomal RNA is filed under the name human gut metagenome. RNAcentral describes it as "bacterial LSU rRNA". It matches the Rfam family "Bacterial large subunit ribosomal RNA", at positions 190 to 2289 of the family's 2925-position model. The record is from RNAcentral.